GGGAAUGUCGUCUAAAGGUUCGGACUCUUGCCUUUUAAGCAAGCUAUACUGGUUCGAGUCCAGUCAUUCUCA
Molecule: transfer RNA, 72 nt
Organism: Candida tropicalis MYA-3404
Lineage: Eukaryota; Fungi; Ascomycota; Pichiomycetes; Serinales; Debaryomycetaceae
Rfam family: tRNA
About the family: Transfer RNA (tRNA) molecules are approximately 80 nucleotides in length. Their secondary structure includes four short double-helical elements and three loops (D, anti-codon, and T loops).
Source: Rfam